GACGAACGCUGGCGGCGUGCUUAACACAUGCAAGUCGAACGGAAAGGCCCUUCUUUUGUGGGGUGCUCGAGUGGCGAACGGGUGAGUAACACGUGAGUAACCUGCCCUUGACUUUGGGAUAACUUCAGGAAACUGGGUCUAAUACCGGAUAGGAGCUCCUGCUGCAUGGUGGUGGUUGGAAAUUUUCGGCGGUUGGGGAUGGACUCGCGGCUUAUCAGCUUGUUGGUGGGGUAGUGGCUUACCAAGGCUUUGACGGGUAGCCGGCCUGAGAGGGUGACCGGCCACAUUGGGACUGAGAUACGGCCCAGACUCCUACGGGAGGCAGCAGUGGGGAAUAUUGCACAAUGGGCGGAAGCCUGAUGCAGCAACGCCGCGUGCGGGAUGACGGCCUUCGGGUUGUAAACCGCUUUCGCCAGUGACGAAGCGUGAGUGACGGUAAUGGGUAAAGAAGCACCGGCUAACUACGUG
Molecule: ribosomal RNA, 468 nt
Filed under: uncultured bacterium
Lineage: Bacteria
Description: partial 16S ribosomal RNA
Rfam family: Bacterial small subunit ribosomal RNA
Source: RNAcentral